Molecule: ribosomal RNA, 2188 nt
Filed under: Escherichia coli
Lineage: Bacteria; Pseudomonadati; Pseudomonadota; Gammaproteobacteria; Enterobacterales; Enterobacteriaceae
Description: partial 23S ribosomal RNA
Rfam family: Bacterial large subunit ribosomal RNA
Source: RNAcentral
UAACACUAACUGGAGGACCGAACCGACUAAUGUUGAAAAAUUAGCGGAUGACUUGUGGCUGGGGGUGAAAGGCCAAUCAAACCGGGAGAUAGCUGGUUCUCCCCGAAAGCUAUUUAGGUAGCGCCUCGUGAAUUCAUCUCCGGGGGUAGAGCACUGUUUCGGCAAGGGGGUCAUCCCGACUUACCAACCCGAUGCAAACUGCGAAUACCGGAGAAUGUUAUCACGGGAGACACACGGCGGGUGCUAACGUCCGUCGUGAAGAGGGAAACAACCCAGACCGCCAGCUAAGGUCCCAAAGUCAUGGUUAAGUGGGAAACGAUGUGGGAAGGCCCAGACAGCCAGGAUGUUGGCUUAGAAGCAGCCAUCAUUUAAAGAAAGCGUAAUAGCUCACUGGUCGAGUCGGCCUGCGCGGAAGAUGUAACGGGGCUAAACCAUGCACCGAAGCUGCGGCAGCGACGCUUAUGCGUUGUUGGGUAGGGGAGCGUUCUGUAAGCCUGUGAAGGUGGCCUGUGAGGGUUGCUGGAGGUAUCAGAAGUGCGAAUGCUGACAUAAGUAACGAUAAAGCGGGUGAAAAGCCCGCUCGCCGGAAGACCAAGGGUUCCUGUCCAACGUUAAUCGGGGCAGGGUGAGUCGACCCCUAAGGCGAGGCCGAAAGGCGUAGUCGAUGGGAAACAGGUUAAUAUUCCUGUACUUGGUGUUACUGCGAAGGGGGGACGGAGAAGGCUAUGUUGGCCGGGCGACGGUUGUCCCGGUUUAAGCGUGUAGGCUGGUUUUCCAGGCAAAUCCGGAAAAUCAAGGCUGAGGCGUGAUGACGAGGCACUACGGUGCUGAAGCGACAAAUGCCCUGCUUCCAGGAAAAGCCUCUAAGCAUCAGGUAACAUUAAAUCGUACCCCAAACCGACACAGGUGGUCAGGUAGAGAAUACCAAGGCGCUUGAGAGAACUCGGGUGAAGGAACUAGGCAAAAUGGUGCCGUAACUUCGGGAGAAGGCACGCUGAUAUGUAGGUGAAGCGACUUGCUCGUGGAGCUGAAAUCAGUCGAAGAUACCAGCUGGCUGCAACUGUUUAUUAAAAACACAGCACUGUGCAAACACGAAAGUGGACGUAUACGGUGUGACGCCUGCCCGGUGCCGGAAGGUUAAUUGAUGGGGUUAGCGGUAACGCGAAGCUCUUGAUCGAAGCCCCGGUAAACGGCGGCCGUAACUAUAACGGUCCUAAGGUAGCGAAAUUCCUUGUCGGGUAAGUUCCGACCUGCACGAAUGGCGUAAUGAUGGCCAGGCUGUCUCCACCCGAGACUCAGUGAAAUUGAACUCGCUGUGAAGAUGCAGUGUACCCGCGGCAAGACGGAAAGACCCCGUGAACCUUUACUAUAGCUUGACACUGAACAUUGAGCCUUGAUGUGUAGGAUAGGUGGGAGGCUUUGAAGUGUGGACGCCAGUCUGCAUGGAGCCGACCUUGAAAUACCACCCUUUAAUGUUUGAUGUUCUAACGUGGGCCCCUUACCGGGGUUGCGGACAGUGUCUGGUGGGUAGUUUGACUGGGGCGGUCUCCUCCUAAAGAGUAACGGAGGAGCACGAAGGUUGGCUAAUCCUGGUCGGACAUCAGGAGGUUAGUGCAAUGGCAUAAGCCAGCUUGACUGCGAGCGUGACGGCGCGAGCAGGUGCGAAAGCAGGUCAUAGUGAUCCGGUGGUUCUGAAUGGAAGGGCCAUCGCUCAACGGAUAAAAGGUACUCCGGGGAUAACAGGCUGAUACCGCCCAAGAGUUCAUAUCGACGGCGGUGUUUGGCACCUCGAUGUCGGCUCAUCACAUCCUGGGGCUGAAGUAGGUCCCAAGGGUAUGGCUGUUCGCCAUUUAAAGUGGUACGCGAGCUGGGUUUAGAACGUCGUGAGACAGUUCGGUCCCUAUCUGCCGUGGGCGCUGGAGAACUGAGGGGGGCUGCUCCUAGUACGAGAGGACCGGAGUGGACGCAUCACUGGUGUUCGGGUUGUCAUGCCAAUGGCACUGCCCGGUAGCUAAAUGCGGAAGAGAUAAGUGCUGAAAGCAUCUAAGCACGAAACUUGCCCCGAGAUGAGUUCUCCCUGACUCCUUGAGAGUCCUGAAGGAACGUUGAAGACGACGACGUUGAUAGGCCGGGUGUGUAAGCGCAGCGAUGCGUUGAGCUAACCGGUACUAAUGAACCGUGAGGCUUA